Onychostoma macrolepis is the source of this 1574-nucleotide long non-coding RNA. RefSeq lists it as uncharacterized. The record is from RefSeq and is a predicted model, not a curated record. The transcript is spliced from 5 exons. NCBI's taxonomy places the organism in Eukaryota, Metazoa, Chordata, Actinopteri, Cypriniformes, Cyprinidae.
CGAUAUCGUUUCUCUGUGACUUUAUCGUUAUAGCUGUGGUGUGGACUCUGCUAUUCUUUAAUACUGAGAAAGAUUUUUAGAACUAUAUCUUUAUCGUUAUCUUUGUAGUUAUUAUCGUGCUUAGUGUGAAUGGGCCUUAAGAGUAAUUUAGCUGGUAAAGUGGAUUUAUGUAUUGUAGAGUUAACGAAAGUUAUCGUGAGCAUUGUAAUGUUUGUCAGUAGACCAGGAAGAUUUUAAAACGAGCGGUUCAUUCAUAAAUCCGUGAGAUCACUGUGGAAAUACAACCGGAAGACAAGACAACAAAUGCAGCGCUAAAAAGGGGCGAGGCUACAUAAUACGACACCGUUAGUACUGGCUACUAAAUCUACAGCAGAUGGGCCGGAGCGCCUCCAGAGACGGAGCUGUUACCAUGGCAUCACGGCUCACCUGUACCUGCACCAGUAUCCCAGCAGAAGAGAUCAGGUGUCCAUGAAGUCCUACCGUUCCCGUUCACAGCCCACUGACUUCACUGAACGCUGUGAGGCCAAAUUGAAACAGAAUUGAUCCAGAGACCCAAGGAGUAUCGACAGGCACUGAUGUUGAUGCUGCAGGCGAUGUUGUUCCUGUUCCUCUGAUGACCACCAGAUGGUGUAAUUCCCUCAUCUGCUGAUCUGAAGGAGAUCCCAGGAGAGUCGAUCCCAGUCACUGCUGAUCUGAUCUCAGGCAUCUGCACGUACAAACAUAUCCUGUGAUCUGCUUCUUCCGUUCUGGAAAGAUGUCCAGUGGAGAGACUGAAUUGGGCUGCGCUUCAGAUUCCUCAGGGAUGAGGACGCUCUGUUCAUUUGUCUCUGUGUUUUAUGAUGAAAAUAUCCAGCUGCUCUCCCUCGCGCGCUCUUGUUUGGUUUCUCCGGAUUGAUUUUCCCAGCAGUUGGCGUCGUGAUCUGCUGGCGAUGAAGCCUCGUCCUCCUCCUCUCUAUCUCUCCUGGUUUCUCCAGGCCACAGGGAGGAGGUCGCAGUCGCUGCAGGUUUGCGGGAGAAUGAAAGGCAGGCUGGGAAUCAUGUUACCGAGGCCGUUUGUCCUGACGUCUCUGGCGUUUCUCCUGUAGAGACUGAAUUAAUGUUUCAUCAGUGCAUCACUGGGAAUCACGCUCCUCUCAAGCACUCCAGAUUAGCAGCGUUUCAGACGCAUUACAACAUGAGUUGAAGAGAAUAGUUUCCUAUUGCAGAGUUAUUGUGAUAAAUUAUGACAAGGUCUAAAUAGAUUUUGUCAGAUAUGAGGUAUAGUGAUGUAUAGUACUCUAUACUGUCGAUGGAUAUUGAUGCACUCUAAAAAAUGCUGGGUAAAUAUUGGACAGAACACAUGCUGGGUUGUUUUCAACCAACAGUUGGGUUAAAUGGGCAGUAACCCAACCGCUGGGUUCAUACAUAUUUUACCCAGCACUGGGUUGUAUUUAACCCAGCAUUUUUUAGAGUGUGCAUAGCGCUAUACAGUAUAGUGUGGAAUAGUUAUUUACACCAAAACACACAGCUGAGCAUUUUUUUGUUUGUUUUAGUUUUUAAUCCAAUUUGUUGUUAUGAUUGUUUUUAAAUAAAUA